Molecule: ribosomal RNA, 449 nt
Filed under: uncultured bacterium
Lineage: Bacteria
Description: partial 16S ribosomal RNA
Rfam family: Bacterial small subunit ribosomal RNA
Source: RNAcentral
AACGAACGCUGGCGGCAUGCCUAACACAUGCAAGUCGAACGAGAUCUUCGGGUCUAGUGGCGCACGGGUGCGUAACGCGUGGGAAUCUGCCCUUUGGUUCGGAAUAACAGUUGGAAACGACUGCUAAUACCGGAUGAUGACGAAAGUCCAAAGAUUUAUCGCCAGAGGAUGAGCCCGCGUAGGAUUAGCUAGUUGGUGUGGUAAAGGCGCACCAAGGCGACGAUCCUUAGCUGGUCUGAGAGGAUGAUCAGCCACACUGGGACUGAGACACGGCCCAGACUACUACGUGAGGCAGCAGUGGGGAAUAUUGGACAAUGGGCGAAAGCCUGAUCCAGCAAUGCCGCGUGAGUGAUGAAGGCCUUAGGGUUGUAAAGCUCUUUUACCCGGGAUGAUAAUGACAGUACCGGGAGAAUAAGCUCCGGCUAACUCCGUGCCAGCCGCCGCGGUAA